CGCUGGCGGCGUGCCUAACACAUGCAAGUCAACUUGACUGAAGGAGCAAUCUGACAGUAGAGUGGCGCAAGGGUGCGUAACGCGUAAGUAACUUGCCCCAAGGUAAGGAAUAACGUCGAGAAAUCGGCGCUAAUACCUCAUAAUGCAGCGGAUCCGCAUGGAUAUGUUGUUAAAGGUUUACCGCCUUGGGAUAGGCUUGCGUCUGAUUAGUUAGUUGGUGUGGUAACGGCACACCAAGGCUACGAUCAGUAACUGGUCUGAGGGGAUGAUCAGUCACACUGGAACUGAGACACGGUCCAGACUCCUACGGGAGGCAGCAGUGAGGAAUAUUGGGCAAUGCUCGAAAGAGUGACCCAGCAACGCCGCGUGGAGGAUGAAGGUAUUCUAUAUCGUAAACUCCUGUGAGAGCAGACGAAAGACAGAUUAUUAAUCUGGAUGACUGUAUGCUCAGAGGAAGCCCCGGCUAACUACGUG
This 474-nucleotide ribosomal RNA is filed under the name uncultured bacterium. RNAcentral's name for it is "bacterial SSU rRNA". It matches the Rfam family "Bacterial small subunit ribosomal RNA", at positions 34 to 507 of the family's 1533-position model. The record is from RNAcentral.